ACUGAGCUGCCCAGGUGCCCCAAGAGUCAGAUAUUUAACCAACUGAGCCACCCAGCCACCCCCAGUUUCAGAUUUCCAAAGGUCUGAGUUUUGAGAUGAUUUACAGUGACCUUAAAAAUAAAUCUGCCAGUGAUUUUACAGCCAAAAAGAGGAGAUAUUUGGAGAAUAGCAGAGAAUUGUAAUCCAGGACAAGUAAGCUACUGCAAAACCAUGGACAAGUCCCACUGAGCAAAGAAGAAACAGGGAAUUUGAAAUGGCUGCCAUCAACACAAAGUCCAUUAAAGGCAGUUAGGAGUUGGAAGUAUAAAUGCUUCUCGCUGGCUAAGUUAUGACAGUCCUUCUCUCGCCGGGCUAUUGGCAGGCGAGGAGGAAACUCUGGACCUGCUGGAGUUGGACUCCGGCACCCUGAUUCUCUCCCUGCAGAGAUGUGGUGGGUGGUCUAUACCCCCACAGAAAUCCUCUGCUCCUGGCUGAAAGCACCUUCUAGGUAGCUUCUGUCUUCAGACAAAGGCAGGUAUUCAGUGUUUCCUUCUGCUGUCGUUCACCGUGUACUUUCCAACAACUGUAUCUUUGUGCCUUGCCCCCAACACAGAAUGCCCUCCUCCUAGUCCAAACCUAGUGAAUGGAAAGCAGAUAUGGGGCCUGAGUUGGAGCAGCCAUUUUGCAACCUUGAAGAGUAGAGUCUGAUCCUUGUGAUGGCAGAAAAGGAGGAUAGAAAGAUCCUGAAACACUGAUGCCUCAGGGAGCCACUGCCUGACCAGCCUGUUUCUAUAUGAGGAAAAGUAAAUCCCAAUUUGGUUACAUUUCCAUCAUUGAGAUUAUAUGCGAGCAAAAGCAACUUCUCAUGGACAAUGGCCUGCCGGAAACCCUGGGUUUCUUUCAGGAAUUUGUGAAGCUGAACCCAACGGCCUUCAUGUUAUAUCUCAAUUAUUUUCCCUCAAAACAAAACAAACAAUAUUAAAGUUCUACCUUAC
This is a long non-coding RNA of Suricata suricatta (meerkat), 974 nucleotides long. RefSeq lists it as uncharacterized. The record is from RefSeq and is a predicted model, not a curated record. NCBI's taxonomy places the organism in Eukaryota, Metazoa, Chordata, Mammalia, Carnivora, Herpestidae. The transcript has 4 exons.